Molecule: non-coding RNA, 29 nt
Filed under: Rattus norvegicus (Norway rat)
Lineage: Eukaryota; Metazoa; Chordata; Mammalia; Rodentia; Muridae
Source: RNAcentral
CCCACAUGUUUGUGCUCAUCCUGUCGGUU